RNAcentral lists this ribosomal RNA (253 nucleotides) under uncultured bacterium. RNAcentral describes it as "partial 16S ribosomal RNA". It matches the Rfam family "Bacterial small subunit ribosomal RNA", at positions 524 to 776 of the family's 1533-position model. The record is from RNAcentral.
UACGUAGGGACCGAGCGUUGUCCGGAAUCAUUGGGCGUAAAGAGCGUGUAGGCGGCCUUUUAAGUCCUGCGUGAAAUCCUGCGGCUCAACCGCAGACGGUCGUGGGAAACUGGAAGGCUAGAGUGCGGGAGAGGAGAGUGGAAUUCCCGGUGUAGCGGUGAAAUGCGCAGAUAUCGGGAAGAACACCCGUGGCGAAGGCGGCUCUCUGGAACGCAACUGACGCUGAGACGCGAAAGCUAGGGUAGCAAACGGG